GGUAGCAUGACCGAGUGGUCUAAGGUGCUGGAUUUAGGCUCCAGUCUCUGGAGGUGUGGGUUCGAAUCCCACCUCUGUCA
Molecule: non-coding RNA, 80 nt
Organism: Salvelinus namaycush (lake trout)
Lineage: Eukaryota; Metazoa; Chordata; Actinopteri; Salmoniformes; Salmonidae
Source: the annotation of a RefSeq genome assembly